AGCGAUUCUCCCAUGUUGGCCUGCCAAAGCACUGGGAUUACAAGUGUGAGCCACAGGGUUUAUCUUUGACUCAUAUAUCCCAGACUUAGAGCUAAAGAAGCCAGCAACCCAGAAAUGCCGAUGGAAAUAUACAAAUGAGGCCCCCAUAAAAGUCUGUUCUCUUUAGCCAAAGGAGCAGGAAAAGGGCAACUUAACAAAACGUAAAACUUUUAGACAAUAACUGUUCUAACUAAAGCAAAUACCACAGAGAAAAACUGUAGCUCCACCUCCCCAACCAUGCCGGCAAAGGCUAAGGGAAGCCUAGAAUUCCACCCUCAUAAGGCUGUCAUGAGGAAUCCCAACACCACUGCCAGGGUGAUGUCACAGAAGGCCAAGUAGGAACUGGAACUUUCAUCCCAGCCAACCAGUAAUGAGCAUCCUCCUCCCACAAUGAUAUCAGUGGAGAUCACAUGGGAGUCAGAACCCUCUUUCCAGCAGUAACAGAUCAUAGGGAAAUACGUCUUCACAUAGCAGAUGGGAGCAAAAUAUGACUUGAAUAGUUCUAUUCUCAUCAAGACUGUUUGUAAGAAAUAGGCACUGGAGAUCCAGCUGAAGAAAAGAGAUUUACUUGAAACUCCAGGAUGGGGACAAUACUGAUGGCACCUUAUGGGAACUGGAGCUCCAUUACUUUCUAUAUUUCUUUGUUUCUGUUUCAUUACUAAGAAGAGCUUCCCUCUGUGCCAUUUAGUUGAAAUUCAAUAGAGAGGGUCUACGACUGGCCCAUUCGCCAAGCCACACCAUACAAGUCCAAGGCUGCUGAGGAGAUUGUGGAUUAGCUACUUAUAGAUCAGCUGUCCAGGCAUGGUCCAUUUAGCUAUGGGACAGAUAGGGCCCUGUCCUGUGAUACGGAAUAAGGGCCUUCAAGGCAUCCUUGAGAUGAAUAAGUCAAUGAAUGAAUAAAUAUCAAAGCAAUCUGGACAGGGCAGGCAAUAACAGGGAUCUCUAUCACAUCUGCUUUCUCUCCAUCAGCAAGCAGCAUUUUAUAAGAGCCUGUCUCCCCUGGAUCUCCCUUACACUCAACAUGUAAUCUGAAAAAUC
This 1077-nucleotide long non-coding RNA is filed under the name Homo sapiens (human). Its description in RNAcentral is "HSALNT0336099". Lineage: Eukaryota; Metazoa; Chordata; Mammalia; Primates; Hominidae. The record is from RNAcentral.